Molecule: ribosomal RNA, 334 nt
Filed under: uncultured bacterium
Lineage: Bacteria
Description: bacterial SSU rRNA
Rfam family: Bacterial small subunit ribosomal RNA
Source: RNAcentral
GAUGAACGCUAGCGGCAGGCUUAAUACAUGCAAGUCGAGGGGCAGCAGGGUGUAGCAAUACAUCGCUGGCGACCGGCAAACGGGUGCGGAACACGUACGCAACCUUCCUUCAAGCGAGGAAUAGCCCAGGGAAACUUGGAUUAAUACCUCGUAACAUUGUGAAGUGGCAUCACUUUAUAAUUAAAGCUCAGGCGCUUGAAGAUGGGCGUGCGACUGAUUAGGUAGUUGGCGGAGUAACAGCCCACCAAGCCUGCGAUCAGUAACUGGUGUGAGAGCACGACCAGUCACACGGGCACUGAGACACGGGCCCGACUCCUACGGGAGGCAGCAGUAA